UGGGGAAUAUUGCACAAUGGGCGGAAGCCUGAUGCAGCAACGCCGCGUGCGGGAUGACGGCCUUCGGGUUGUAAACCGCUUUCGCCUGUGACGAAGCGUGAGUGACGGUAAUGGGUAAAGAAGCACCGGCUAACUACGUGCCAGCAGCCGCGGUGAUACGUAGGGUGCGAGCGUUGUCCGGAUUUAUUGGGCGUAAAGGGCUCGUAGGUGGUUGAUCGCGUCGGAAGUGUAAUCUUGGGGCUUAACCCUGAGCGUGCUUUCGAUACGGGUUGACUUGAGGAAGGUAGGGGAGAAUGGAAUUCCUGGUGGAGCGGUGGAAUGCGCAGAUAUCAGGAGGAACACCAGUGGCGAAGGCGGUUCUCUGGGCCUUUCCUGACGCUGAGGAGCGAAAGCGUGGGGAGCGAACAGGCUUAGAUACCCUGGUAGUCCACGCUGUAAACGGUGGGUACUAGGUGUGGGGUCCAUUCCACGGGUUCCGCGCCGUAGCUAACGCUUUAAGUACCCCGCCUGGGGAGUACGGCCGCAAGGCU
Molecule: ribosomal RNA, 530 nt
Filed under: uncultured bacterium
Lineage: Bacteria
Description: bacterial SSU rRNA
Rfam family: Bacterial small subunit ribosomal RNA
Source: RNAcentral